CAAGAAAUAGUUUAAAAAAAAUAUUAAUUUUGGAGAUUAAAGAUGGGAAAAUUUUCUUUUCUUGA
This 65-nucleotide transfer RNA is filed under the name Aristobia reticulator. RNAcentral's name for it is "tRNA-Pro". Lineage: Eukaryota; Metazoa; Arthropoda; Insecta; Coleoptera; Cerambycidae. The record is from RNAcentral.